AGGUCGGGAGGCAGCCCUUGGGAAGGCUGCCAUGAAUAGACCUGAACCCCCAUUUCUCCAUGGGCGCGCGCCGAUGCCCGACGGCCCGCUU
Ketogulonicigenium vulgare Y25 is the source of this 91-nucleotide non-coding RNA. Lineage: Bacteria; Pseudomonadati; Pseudomonadota; Alphaproteobacteria; Rhodobacterales; Roseobacteraceae. The record is from Rfam.